RNAcentral lists this ribosomal RNA (492 nucleotides) under uncultured bacterium. RNAcentral describes it as "partial 16S ribosomal RNA". It matches the Rfam family "Bacterial small subunit ribosomal RNA", at positions 29 to 507 of the family's 1533-position model. The record is from RNAcentral.
AGUGAACGCUGGCGGUAGGCCUAACACAUGCAAGUCGAACGGCAGCACAGUAAGAGCUUGCUCUUACGGGUGGCGAGUGGCGGACGGGUGAGGAAUACAUCGGAAUCUACUUUUUCGUGGGGGAUAACGUGGGGAAACUUACGCUAAUACCGCAUACGACCUACGGGUGAAAGCAGGGGAUCUUCGGACCUUGCGCGAUUGAAUGAGCCGAUGUCGGAUUAGCUAGUUGGCGGGGUAAAGGCCCACCAAGGCGACGAUCCGUAGCUGGUCUGAGAGGAUGAUCAGCCACACUGGAACUGAGACACGGUCCAGACUCCUGCGGGAGGCAGCAGUGGGGAAUAUUGGACAAUGGGCGCAAGCCUGAUCCAGCCAUACCGCGUGGGUGAAGAAGGCCUUCGGGUUGUAAAGCCCUUUUGUUGGGAAAGAAAAGCAGCAGGUUAAUACCCCGCUGUUCUGACGGUACCCAAAGAAUAAGCACCGGCUAACUUCGUG